AUACGUAGGGGGCGAGCGUUGUCCGGAAUUACUGGGCGUAAAGGGCGUGUAGGCGGCUAAUUAAGUCAGAUGUGAAAGGCCCCGGCUUAACCGGGGUAUUGCAUUUGAAACUGGUUAGCUUGAGUGCAGGAGAGGAAAGUGGAAUUCCUAGUGUAGCGGUGAAAUGCGUAGAUAUUAGGAGGAACACCAGUGGCGAAGGCGACUUUCUGGACUGUAACUGACGCUGAGGCGCGAAAGCGUGGGUAGCGAACAGGAUUAGAUACCCUGGUAGUCCACGCUGUAAACGAUGGAUACUAGGUGUAGGGGGUAUCGAAACCCUCUGUGCCGGAGUAAACGCAAUAAGUAUCCCGCCUGGGGAGUACGGCCGCAAGGUUGAA
Molecule: ribosomal RNA, 377 nt
Filed under: uncultured bacterium
Lineage: Bacteria
Description: bacterial SSU rRNA
Rfam family: Bacterial small subunit ribosomal RNA
Source: RNAcentral